GCGGGGGUAGCUCAGUGGUAGAGCUCCUGCCUUCCAAGCAGGAUGUCGCCGGUUCGAAUCCGGUCCCCCGCUCCA
RNAcentral lists this transfer RNA (75 nucleotides) under Chloroflexota bacterium. RNAcentral describes it as "Chloroflexi bacterium (groundwater metagenome) tRNA-Gly". It matches the Rfam family "tRNA". From Rfam's summary of the family: Transfer RNA (tRNA) molecules are approximately 80 nucleotides in length. Their secondary structure includes four short double-helical elements and three loops (D, anti-codon, and T loops). Further hydrogen bonds mediate the characteristic L-shaped molecular structure. tRNAs have two regions of fundamental functional importance: the anti-codon, which is responsible for specific mRNA codon recognition, and the 3' end, to which the tRNAs corresponding amino acid is attached (by aminoacyl-tRNA synthetases). tRNAs cope with the degeneracy of the genetic code in two manners: having more than one tRNA (with a specific anti-codon) for a particular amino acid; and 'wobble' base-pairing, i.e. permitting non-standard base-pairing at the 3rd anti-codon position. Lineage: Bacteria; Bacillati; Chloroflexota. The record is from RNAcentral.